Non-coding RNA from Pelobates cultripes (western spadefoot toad), 287 nucleotides. NCBI's taxonomy places the organism in Eukaryota, Metazoa, Chordata, Amphibia, Anura, Pelobatidae. The record is from the annotation of a GenBank genome assembly.
CUAAAUACAGAGGCAGUGUGAGGCAUGCGACUAUUGAUUCCGCAACAGCAGUGAGAAUUCCUGUUCAGUCGAUACUCUCCAGAAGCAUAGCACAGCCCCGUUUGGGUGCCCAUGCGCACCUUGACUCCGAUCGGGACAGCUGUGUCUUCCAUGCGUAGUUAGUGGCAAGAUAAGCCCAGUAAUAUUGCUAGAUACUCCUGCCGUGUGUUUGCUCCGUGAGGAUCUUGACCAUCUGGUGUGUUUCGCCUUACAGCCACUGGCACAGAUUUCUCACACCACUUUGUCCC